UGGGGAAUAUUGCACAAUGGGCGCAAGCCUGAUGCAGCCAUGCCGCGUGUGUGAAGAAGGCCUUCGGGUUGUAAAGCACUUUCAGCGGGGAGGAAGGCGAUAAGGUUAAUAACCUUGUCGAUUGACGUUACCCGCAGAAGAAGCACCGGCUAACUCCGUGCCAGCAGCCGCGGUAAUACGGAGGGUGCAAGCGUUAAUCGGAAUUACUGGGCGUAAAGCGCACGCAGGCGGUCUGUCAAGUCGGAUGUGAAAUCCCCGGGCUUAACCCGGGAAUUGCAUCUGAUACUGGUCAGCUAGAGUCUUGUAGAGGGGGGUAGAAUUCCAUGUGUAGCGGUGAGAAGCGUAGAGAUGUGGAGGAAUACCGGUGGCGAAGGCGGCCCCCUGGACAAAGACUGACGCUCAGGUGCGAAAGCGUGGGGAUCAAACAGG
Molecule: ribosomal RNA, 429 nt
Filed under: Chloroflexota bacterium
Lineage: Bacteria; Bacillati; Chloroflexota
Description: Chloroflexi bacterium partial 16S ribosomal RNA
Rfam family: Bacterial small subunit ribosomal RNA
Source: RNAcentral